This 379-nucleotide ribosomal RNA is filed under the name uncultured bacterium. RNAcentral describes it as "bacterial SSU rRNA". It matches the Rfam family "Bacterial small subunit ribosomal RNA", at positions 521 to 896 of the family's 1533-position model. The record is from RNAcentral.
UAAGACGAACCGUGCGAACGUUAUUCGGAAUCAUUGGGCUUAAAGGGCGCGUAGGCGGCGGCGUAAGUUCGUGGUGAAAUCCCAUCGGCUCAACCGUGGAAUCGCUUCGAAUACUGCGUCGCUUGAGUGGGAUAGGGGACCGCAGAACUGCCGGUGGAGCGGUGAAAUGUGUUGAUAUCGGCGGGAAUGCCAGUGCCGAAAGGGGCGGUCUGGACCCUCACUGACGCUGAGGCGCGAAAGCUAGGGGAGCAAACGGGAUUAGAUACCCCGGUAGUCCUAGCCUUAAACGUUGGGUACUGGGUAGAAAGGGUACCGAUAGCCCCUUCUGCCGGAGCGAAAGUGUUAAGUACCCCGCCUGGGGAGUAUGGUCGCAAGGCUG